This 305-nucleotide ribosomal RNA is filed under the name uncultured bacterium. Its description in RNAcentral is "bacterial SSU rRNA". It matches the Rfam family "Bacterial small subunit ribosomal RNA", at positions 333 to 655 of the family's 1533-position model. The record is from RNAcentral.
GGAGUCCUACGGGGGGCAGCAGUGGGGAAUAUUGCACAAUGGGGGAAACCCUGAUGCAGCGACGCCGCGUGAGUGAAGAAGUAUCUCGGUACGUAAAGCUCUCUCAGCAGGGGAGAAAAUGUCGGUACCUGAUUAAGAAGCCCCGGCUAACUACGUGCCAGCAGCCGCGGUAAUACGUAGGGGGCAAGCGUUAUCCGGAUUUACUGGGUGUAAAGGGAGCGUAGACGGCAUAGCAAGUCUGAAGUGAAAGCCCAAGGCUCAACCAUGGGACUGCUUUGGAAACCGUUAAGCUAGAGUGCUGGAGG